This 73-nucleotide transfer RNA is filed under the name Clytia hemisphaerica. RNAcentral describes it as "tRNA-Ser for anticodon CGA". It matches the Rfam family "tRNA". From Rfam's summary of the family: Transfer RNA (tRNA) molecules are approximately 80 nucleotides in length. Their secondary structure includes four short double-helical elements and three loops (D, anti-codon, and T loops). Further hydrogen bonds mediate the characteristic L-shaped molecular structure. tRNAs have two regions of fundamental functional importance: the anti-codon, which is responsible for specific mRNA codon recognition, and the 3' end, to which the tRNAs corresponding amino acid is attached (by aminoacyl-tRNA synthetases). tRNAs cope with the degeneracy of the genetic code in two manners: having more than one tRNA (with a specific anti-codon) for a particular amino acid; and 'wobble' base-pairing, i.e. permitting non-standard base-pairing at the 3rd anti-codon position. Lineage: Eukaryota; Metazoa; Cnidaria; Hydrozoa; Leptothecata; Clytiidae. The record is from Rfam by way of RNAcentral.
GGACCCGUAGCUCAAUGGGUAGAGCAAAUGCCCGCGAAUGGCAUGGUUGUGAGUUCGAGUCUCGCCGGAUCCG